CCAGGUCGUGGCUUCGCCCAGAGGGGUUGGUGGCUGCGGUGCUGCUCGCUCUCCAUGCGCCGGACCUUCUCGAAAAGAAGCCCCAAGGUCGAGUCGGCAUGAAGGAGAGUCUCGGGUGCCGAAGGCCCUGGGGGCAGGCGGACAGGAACUGGGUAAGGUUCCCAUUCUUCGAACACCUCAGUGUGAUAAGACUCCCAGUCUUCUGAAUGGUACGAUUUCCAGUUAUCUGAGUCCCAUACAUCCUUUCUAGCUAGUAGGUGCGUUGACUUCGGUGGGGGACCUAGGUGCGUCACCUUUGGGUCUCUGAGAUUAACAGGGAUAGGGAUACGGUCUGUCUGACGGUCCAAGAGGCAGUCCCUGCAAUCCCUAUUGACCUUCGUUGGUUCAUGGGGCCG
This 395-nucleotide long non-coding RNA is filed under the name Prunus persica (peach). RNAcentral's name for it is "long non-coding RNA (PPER_LNC007739)". Lineage: Eukaryota; Viridiplantae; Streptophyta; Magnoliopsida; Rosales; Rosaceae. The record is from RNAcentral.